CUGUACUAACCCAUUAACCUUGGAAAAUCAACUCUGAUUUGAGUAAGACACUUUAAAAGGUUUUCUACUAGUUUCAACUGUAUUAACAACAAACGAUACAAGGUCAUCAGAGUGAUGGACGGGGUCCCUUACGAUGAGGCCAUCUGCGUUUAGUUAGCUGGUGACAGUAUGACAAAGGGCAGGUAUAUGAAGAUGCAUACCUGUCCAGGAAAGACCAUUCUCCCAGAAAAGAGAGUUGCAUUCAGGCUUGACAUGAGCAGUAAAACCACAUCAUUGGUACCAAAGGAUCUGAGAGAAUCCCGAGUGAGAUUCAUUUUCAUGGGCACUGGAGCUGAGCACACUUUUAGCUAG
This 351-nucleotide long non-coding RNA is filed under the name Monodelphis domestica (gray short-tailed opossum). RNAcentral's name for it is "lncRNA (ENSMODG00000031912.2)". Lineage: Eukaryota; Metazoa; Chordata; Mammalia; Didelphimorphia; Didelphidae. The record is from RNAcentral.